AGAGUUUGAUCAUGGCUCAGGAUGAACGCUAGCGGCAGGCUUAACACAUGCAAGUCGAGGGGUAUAGGUUUUCGGGCCUAGAGACCGGCGCACGGGUGCGUAACGCGUAUGCAAUCUACCUUUUACAGAGGGAUAGCCCAGAGAAAUUUGGAUUAAUACCUCAUAGUAUUAUUGAAUGGCAUCAUUUAAUAAUUAAAGUCACAACGGUAAAAGAUGAGCAUGCGUCCCAUUAGCUAGUUGGUAAGGUAACGGCUUACCAAGGCAACGAUGGGUAGGGGUCCUGAGAGGGAGAUCCCCCACACUGGUACUGAGACACGGACCAGACUCCUACGGGAGGCAGCAGUGAGGAAUAUUGGUUAAUGGGCGCAAGCCUGAACCAGCCAUGCCGCGUGCAGGAUGAAGCAUCUAUGGUGUGUAAACUGCUUUUGUACGAGAAGAAACACUCCUUCGUGAAGGAGCUGACGGUAUCGUAGAAUAAGGACCGGCUAACUUCGUGCCAGCAGCCGCGGUA
RNAcentral lists this ribosomal RNA (511 nucleotides) under uncultured Bacteroidota bacterium. RNAcentral describes it as "bacterial SSU rRNA". It matches the Rfam family "Bacterial small subunit ribosomal RNA", at positions 8 to 522 of the family's 1533-position model. The record is from RNAcentral. Lineage: Bacteria; Pseudomonadati; Bacteroidota.